ACAAACCAAUUGAAUUUGGCAGUCAUAAAUUUCUAAAGAAACUUGUUUUUUGAUCGAUAACACACGUUAAGUUUAACUUAAUAAUUUACAUACCGCCGUAUAAAAAAUCAAAUAAUAAAUUUUUAUUUAAAUAACCGUUAUUAAUUCAGGUCAAGGUGUAAUACAUAUAAUAGGUAAAAUUAGUUACCAAUAAUCCUUAAUUAAAAAGAUUAACAAAUCAAAUAACAAAUUAGAAUUUAAAAUCAAAUAACUAUUUAAAAUAGUUUGUUGAAAAAACAACAAUGAUAC
RNAcentral lists this ribosomal RNA (288 nucleotides) under Mecolaesthus sp. Ven02/80-12. Its description in RNAcentral is "partial 12S ribosomal RNA". The record is from RNAcentral. Lineage: Eukaryota; Metazoa; Arthropoda; Arachnida; Araneae; Pholcidae.